GCUGGCAUGGCUCAAUGGCAGAGCAGCUGACUUGUAAUCAGCAGGUUGUAGGUUCGACUCCUAUUGCCAGCU
Clostridium fallax is the source of this 72-nucleotide transfer RNA. It matches the Rfam family "tRNA". From Rfam's summary of the family: Transfer RNA (tRNA) molecules are approximately 80 nucleotides in length. Their secondary structure includes four short double-helical elements and three loops (D, anti-codon, and T loops). The record is from Rfam. Lineage: Bacteria; Bacillati; Bacillota; Clostridia; Eubacteriales; Clostridiaceae.